AACAAAUCCCCCGCGGUCGGUACUCCCAUUCUCCCAAUCACUCUCAACCUCGCUCACUUUCAUGAACCUCGAUCCCUCAAUCCACCCUUAAUCCCUCUCACCCUUCCAAGCUCCCCCUCGCUCUCAUCCUCUCUCUUUGUGUCAUUGAAGUUUUCCGAAAGCUGUGGGCAAGUUCAGGAGCGGUUCCGGCGAAGUAUAGCUGUCUCCAAGCAUCGUCAAUCUCUCAGGCCACCACAGGUUCUCUUCCGUCGGUCGCAACUCUUCACUUUUCAACUCGUCUCCCCCCCCCCCCCCCCCCUCCCUCUCUCCUUGUAAGUUCCUCUUCUCCUUCAGAUUCAGAGAACUUCUUUGUUUUUAAUUUCAUCAGGUCUUGAUUGGGUUUUCUAAUAUGACUGGGUUUUUGUGUAUGAGCUAUCAACUUCUUCAUCGUCUUCAUCAGAGAGAACAAUACCCAUCAGGGUUGAAGAAUUUCACGAACACAUUGUUCCUCUGUCUCGGAUUUGAUGGCAAGCAAAUUGGGUUUUGCAAAAUUAAAGGAAAAUCUUCCAAUCAAGAUGUGUUGGAUGAGGAAUUUAUAUUCGAUUGAUGAGAAUGUUCAGAGGGAAACCAGAUUGAUGGGUAGUGGAAGCAUAUUCUGUUAGUAUAAAGGGGGAGAUUGUUAGUAUGGGAAUUGUAUGUUGGCAUUCCCCUUAUACAAAACUUGAGUGUUCUAGCUAAAAGUGUGUGAGUGUUUUGAUCUAAGCAUUUGGAUCAGUAACACAAGACAAGGACCACUGACUCAUACGAAAUUUGGGCUGGUGUCCCCUCACAUGGACUUGCAAGUUGAGCCUUUAAACAAAGUUCUUUUAAGAAGUCUGGGUGUAUAAAAAGAAUGCUUUGGUUCCAUAAGUUUGAUCGGUUUUUGUGAGCAGUGUCUAAGUUAAAUGUUCAAGAGAAUAAGUGAGUCAUGAGUGUAUUCUAUUCUUAGAAUUCUCUUGUAUUAAAUACCGAUGAGUUCAGUUGAGAAAAUCAACUAUGUUUGAGAUUUCAAGGCCGAUGUUUUCAAGACAAGUGAAGCACAUUUAGAAGCUGUAGACAAAGUCUUGAGAGGUAGUUCAACUGGCUAAAAAGAGUUUAGCUAGAGAUAACCGAGUUCAGAGUUAUCCGAGAGGUUGUAAGUGUACCUUGUAUUUGGUUUACUAUCUUAUAAUGUGUGCUUAAGCACUUGGCCUGAGGCCCGCAGUUGUUUACCUCAUUUUGAGGGUUUUACUUUCUAAACAUGUUCCUGUGUCCCUUAUUUUCUGUUAUUUUUUCUUAUGCUUGCAUAUGGUAGUUUCUUUAUACUGUUGGUUAGGGAUAGAUAGCUUUCUCCAAUCCCUCAGCAACGUUCAGAAAAUUGGAUACAAAUAAAAGUUAAUUGCCUAUUCACCCCCCCCCUCUAGGCCAUUCUAGUACUUUCAUAUUCUAUUAUGUGGUUUCAAUUUGAAGCAGCUGAUUCUUAUUAUUAUUAUUAAUAUAUUUUUACUUUAUUGCAUAGGCUUGGAGUUAAGAUUAAGUCAUCAAACACGGUAACUUCACUAACCAUGAUUUUUAUUUUCGGUUUAGUAUACAGUAAGAAGUUGAUUAGUAUAUAUGAGUAGAAGAGGUGGUCAAUGUGUACUCAUUUUGCAUGUUGGUUCUUUGGCAGGUAUUGGAAACAAGGAGAGGGUUGGCCUUUUGCACAGUUUGUCCAAAUUUUCAUUUUAAUUUUGAUACUCUUUGGAUGUAGUUGAUAUGAAUAAUAACAUUUACUGAAUAUAUUGAGGUUGUAGUGAAAAUAUUGAUUCUCAAUUAGCUUGUUAUUCAAUCUUACAUAUCAGUAUUGUUUCUAUGGUGGUAUGAAUCUAUAACAAGAAAAAAAAAUUCUAAUUUUAA
Molecule: long non-coding RNA, 1893 nt
Organism: Rosa chinensis
Lineage: Eukaryota; Viridiplantae; Streptophyta; Magnoliopsida; Rosales; Rosaceae
Exons: 4
Source: RefSeq, a predicted model, not a curated record